GACGAACGCUGGCGGCGUGCCUAAUACAUGCAAGUAGAACGCACAGUUUAUACCGUAGCUUGCUACACCAUAGACUGUGAGUUGCGAACGGGUGAGUAACGCGUAGGUAACCUGCCUGGUAGCGGGGGAUAACUAUUGGAAACGAUAGCUAAUACCGCAUAAUAUUGAUUAUUGCAUGAUAAUUGAUUGAAAGAUGCUAUUGCAUCACUACCAGAUGGACCUGCGUUGUAUUAGCUAGUAGGUGAGGUAACGGCUCACCUAGGCGACGAUACAUAGCCGACCUGAGAGGGUGAUCGGCCACACUGGGACUGAGACACGGCCCAGACUCCUACGGGAGGCAGCAGUAGGAAAUCUUCGGCAAUGGACGAAAGUCUGACCGAGCAACGCCGCGUGAGUGAAGAAGGUUUUCGGAUCGUAAAGCUCUGUUGUAAGAGAAGAACGGGUGUGAGAGUGGAAAGUUCACACUGUGACGGUAUCUUACCAGAAAGGGACGGCUAACUACGUG
RNAcentral lists this ribosomal RNA (505 nucleotides) under uncultured bacterium. Its description in RNAcentral is "partial 16S ribosomal RNA". It matches the Rfam family "Bacterial small subunit ribosomal RNA", at positions 28 to 507 of the family's 1533-position model. The record is from RNAcentral.